UGGGGAAUAUUGCACAAUGGGCGAAAGCCUGAUGCAGCAACGCCGCGUGAAGGAUGAAGGUUUUCGGAUUGUAAACUUCUGUCUCCAUGGACGAGAACGGACGGUACAUGGGGAGGAAGCCACGGCUAACUACGUGCCAGCAGCCGCGGUAAUACGUAGGUGGCGAGCGUUUGUCCGGAUUUACUGGGUGUAAAGGGCGUGUAGGCGGAUUCUCAAGUCAGGUGUGAAAUACCGCAGCUUAACUGCGGGGCUGCACUUGAAACUGGGAACCUUGAGUGUUGGAGAGGAAAGCGGAAUUCCUAGUGUAGCGGUGAAAUGCGUAGAUAUUAGGAGGAACACCGAGUGGCGAAGGCGGCUUUCUGGACAAUAACUGACGCUGAGCGCGAAAGCGUGGGAGCAA
This 400-nucleotide ribosomal RNA is filed under the name uncultured bacterium. RNAcentral describes it as "bacterial SSU rRNA". It matches the Rfam family "Bacterial small subunit ribosomal RNA", at positions 355 to 771 of the family's 1533-position model. The record is from RNAcentral.